This 348-nucleotide unclassified non-coding RNA is filed under the name soil metagenome. Its description in RNAcentral is "partial contains 5.8S ribosomal RNA, internal transcribed spacer 2, and large subunit ribosomal RNA". The stretch from base 1 to 120 matches the Rfam family "5.8S ribosomal RNA", at positions 35 to 154 of the family's 154-position model. The record is from RNAcentral.
GAUGAAGAACGUAGCGAAAUGCGAAAAGUAAUGUGAAUUGCAGAAUUCAGUGAACCAUCGAAUCUUUGAACGCACAUUGCGCCCGCUGGAUCUCCGGCGGGCACGCCUGUCCGAGCGUCAUUUCAACCCUCAGGCCCCCCUUCGCGGGCGGGCCUGGUGUUGGGGCCCGGCCGCUACCCUGCGGCCGUCCCCUAAAUCCAGUGGCGGCCUCGCCGUGAUCCCUUGCGUAGUAAUGCACCUCGCACCGGAGAGCGCCGUGGCCACGCCGUAAAACCCCCAAUUUUCAAUGGUUGACCUCGGAUCAGGUGGGAAUACCCGCUGAACUUAAGCAUAUCAAUAAGCGGAGGA